AUUGAACGCUGGCGGCAUGCCUUACACAUGCAAGUCGAACGGCAGCGGGCCUUCGGGUGCCGGCGAGUGGCGAACGGGUGAGUAAUGCAUCGGAACGUGCCAUUGAGUGGGGGGAUAACGUAGCGAAAGUUGCGCUAAUACCGCAUAUUCUGUGAGCAGGAAAGCAGGGGACCGCAAGGCCUUGCGCUCUUUGAGCGGCCGAUGUCAGAUUAGCUAGUUGGUGAGGUAAAGGCUUACCAAGGCGACGAUCUGUAGCGGGUCUGAGAGGAUGAUCCGCCACACUGGAACUGAGACACGGUCCAGACUCCUACGGAGGCAGCAGUGGGAAUUUUGGACAAUGGGGGCAACCCUGAUCCAGCCAUGCCGCGUGAGUGAAGAAGGCC
RNAcentral lists this ribosomal RNA (383 nucleotides) under uncultured bacterium. Its description in RNAcentral is "bacterial SSU rRNA". It matches the Rfam family "Bacterial small subunit ribosomal RNA", at positions 30 to 416 of the family's 1533-position model. The record is from RNAcentral.